Molecule: non-coding RNA, 544 nt
Organism: Pelobates cultripes (western spadefoot toad)
Lineage: Eukaryota; Metazoa; Chordata; Amphibia; Anura; Pelobatidae
Source: the annotation of a GenBank genome assembly
AGGAAUGCUUGUAGACAUGAACUGAGGAUGCGGGAUAGUGGAGAAUUCCAGGAAAUAGCCGGACUUUAGGAUCUUUAGCACCCACUUGUCCUGUAUUGUUUGAGCCCAGACCUCGUAGAAGUGAAGAAGUUUUGCUCCCACACUCAAGUCCUGGACUGGCGUCCCAUCAGAAUUGCUUUGACUGUCUGGUACUGCCACCUCGUCCCUGGGAGUUUUUGGAAGAAGAAUAUCCACCUUUCCAAGAUUGGAAUCUGGAAAAUUCUUUACCAGGCCUGUAUCUUCUAAAUUCCUAAUCCCUAAAGGAACAUCUGUCCUGUGGAAAAGAUCUUUUAGGACGUCUAUCUUGAGGAAGAAAGGCAUUACGUCCUUCCACUGCCUUUUUAAUACAUUCAUCCAGAUAUUUUCAAAAGAGCAUAUCCCUUUUUGAAGAAGUAUCUGCCACCCAAUAACGUAGCCAAAGAGCACGUCUUGAUGCUACUGUCAGGACCAUGCUUCUGGAGAUGGAUCUCACCAAAUCUAUAGAAGCUUCCAAUGAAAAUUCAAU